Molecule: ribosomal RNA, 301 nt
Filed under: uncultured bacterium
Lineage: Bacteria
Description: partial 16S ribosomal RNA
Rfam family: Bacterial small subunit ribosomal RNA
Source: RNAcentral
CAGCAGCCACGGUAAUACGAGGGGUGCAAGCGUUAUUCGGAUUGAUUGGGUGUAAAGGGUGUGCAGACGGCUUAUUAAGUCACUUGUUAAAUUCUUCGGCCUAACUGAAGGUCUGCAAAUGAUACUGAUGAGCUAGAGGGUGGAAGAGAGAAGUGGAAUUCUCGGAGUAGCGGUAAAAUGCGUAGAUCUCGAGAGGAACACCAAUGGCGAAGGCAGCUUCUUGGUCCAUUCCUGACGUUCAUACACGAAAGCGUGGGGAGCAAACAGGAUUAGAUACCCCCGUAGUCCCUGUCUCUUAUAA